UUGCCAGGGGAACCAACCUUGUGAUUAGAAGGUUGAAACUUUCAGCCCCACCCCUGACCUCCAGGGAGCCGGGAGAGGCUGAAGGCUGAGUUGAUCACCCGUGGCCAAUGAUUUAAUCAGUCAUGGCUAGCUGUCCAAACAACUAGUGGCCACCAGGGCACCCGCAGUCUCCUCCCUUGUGUCCCUGAAGCUCAUCAAGAGUUGCUCAACAGCCCGCAGAACCACGUGCCUGUCUCAUUGUCCUUAUCUUCCCAUUUCAAGGACAAAACUUCAGCUGCUGUCUUGGUCUGCUUUAUCCACACCUGACCUGUCACUUACAAUGUACAUUCUGAGGACCAACAUCUCCAAACAUUGUCCUGGGGCAGGAGCAUCCUCCUUACUAGAAAGCUCAGGGCCUCUGAAUCAGAAUCUGCAUCACAACAAGAUCCCCAGAAUACUGAAGUUUGAGAAGCUCUGGUCUACAUUAGAUGGUUUUCUAAUGGCUCCCUGUUGCCACUGAUAAUAAAGCUCUCUUGUCUUUACCAGA
Homo sapiens (human) is the source of this 526-nucleotide long non-coding RNA. RefSeq lists it as uncharacterized. The record is from RefSeq and is a predicted model, not a curated record. Lineage: Eukaryota; Metazoa; Chordata; Mammalia; Primates; Hominidae. The transcript has 3 exons.